Molecule: ribosomal RNA, 253 nt
Filed under: uncultured bacterium
Lineage: Bacteria
Description: partial 16S ribosomal RNA
Rfam family: Bacterial small subunit ribosomal RNA
Source: RNAcentral
UACGAAGGGGGCUAGCGUUGCUCGGAAUGACUGGGCGUAAAGGGCGCGUAGGCGGAUGGCAUAGUCAGAUGUGAAAUUCCCGGGCUUAACCUGGGGACUGCAUUUGAUACGUGUCGUCUUGAGUUCGGAAGAGGGUCGUGGAAUUCCCAGUGUAGAGGUGAAAUUCGUAGAUAUGCGGAGGAACACCGAUGGCGAAGGCAAUCCCCUGGGCCUGCACUGACGCUCAUGCACGAAAGCGUGGGGAGCAAACAGG